Piliocolobus tephrosceles (Ugandan red Colobus) is the source of this 1414-nucleotide long non-coding RNA. NCBI's taxonomy places the organism in Eukaryota, Metazoa, Chordata, Mammalia, Primates, Cercopithecidae. The record is from Ensembl.
AUAAAAUAAAAAAAAAACAUCAAACCCUUUUUCUUUGCUAUUUUCAACGCAUUAAUUUUUUUUUUAACCUUUGAUCAGUUCUUGCAUCAUGUAUGAAUUUUCCUUACAUCAAUAAAAAAUAUAAAGUUAACACUAUUUUGUAAAUUUAUUCCUUUUUUUGUUAAUUUAUCUUUUGAUUGUUUUUUUUUUGUAAUUGAUUUACUAAUUUAUUUAUUUUUUAAUUUUAAUUUUUUGCCUAAUUUAUUGCCUAAUUUUUAAACUCAUUUUUGUUUUCAUUUUCUCAUCAAAUCAUCGUAUUUUUUCAUUUUUUUAGCACUUUUACAUUUGGCUUAUACCAAUCACUAUUAUAUAUUUUGUUUGUUGUAUAAAUUUGUAAAAAAAAAUAGGAAAACAAAUAAACUAUGUAACUUGAAAAAUAUUAAAAAAAAAUAGAAAAUAAAUUGUUACUUAAAUCGAAAAUGAAAAUAACAUAAGCCUAGUUAAAAAGUAAAAGUUAAAAAAAAAAAUGCAUUAUGCUUUUUACUUUUUACCAAUUUUUUAUUUGCUCCAUUUGAGAUUGUUAUCAAUAGGAUAUGUUACACAUAACAUAGGGAAGUCAAGUUAUACGUUAUAUGCAAUAAAAAAGAAAAAACACAAAAAAAAAAAUACCAAAGUUAAUUGACAUUACCGUGAAUAGUGAUAAUGAAAUAGGAACAAAAGGUUUAGAAACUUAAAUACGCUAAAUACGCAUGUUUCAUAUUGAAAUAUAACUACAAUAUAUGCAUAUACAUUUGCAGACGCAUAUAUAUAUAUAUAUAUAUAUACAAACUGCGUACAUACAAUGUGAUACCUUAAUUUUAAAUUUCAUAGGGCAAAUAAAAAAAGUAAAACUGUCUCACGCAUUUAAUUAUAUUAUACCACAAAAACUCGGAUAUAGAAGCACAAUUGACGAAUUAAUUGAAAAGGAGAAAAACGAAAACACUCAUAGAUAUAUAGAUGAAAUAAAAUCAAGUUUUAUAUGGGAAUAUAAAAAGAAGUUAAAUGAUAUAAUUAUUCCAUUUUAUUUUAAUAAAAAUGAAAAGUUUGUUCUUACUGAAGAAAACGUACUAUAUUAUCUUCUAUGUAGAGGAUUAAUUCGAGAGAAUGAUGAAGUAUAUAACAAAAUAAAAAAUAAAAAAAUUAAAAUUAUAGACUUCGGCACAUAUCCAAUAAAAUAUACUUUUUUUAAUAAUGUUAGCAUCAAUGUUGCUUUAAAUAUUCUUAAAAAUAAAUAAAUGUUUUUUUUUUAGAUUUUAAUUAAUUUGAUUAAAAAAUUCAUUAAUUAUAUCACGCAUCAAACUGAUAAAAAAAAACAAAAAAAUAGCGAACCGAACAGUAGGUUUUUAUUUAUAAUUUAAAAAAAAAAAAAAUAAUAAAUAAAUAAAACAGCUAACCA